AGGAAGUAUAGCAGUGGCAGUGGCCAGCUCUGGAGCCCUGGAAUCAGCUCCUGCAGUAACAACAGAGCUCUCAGUCUGCCGGGGCCUGGAUGCUCCGGGGGCGG
This 104-nucleotide microRNA precursor is filed under the name Canis lupus familiaris (dog). RNAcentral's name for it is "mir-8834 microRNA precursor family". It matches the Rfam family "mir-8834 microRNA precursor family". Lineage: Eukaryota; Metazoa; Chordata; Mammalia; Carnivora; Canidae. RNAcentral also lists the same sequence under 1 other name. The record is from Rfam by way of RNAcentral.